This 254-nucleotide ribosomal RNA is filed under the name uncultured bacterium. Its description in RNAcentral is "partial 16S ribosomal RNA". It matches the Rfam family "Bacterial small subunit ribosomal RNA", at positions 524 to 776 of the family's 1533-position model. The record is from RNAcentral.
UACGUAGGGGGCAAGCGUUGUCCGGAUUUAUUGGGCGUAAAGAGCGUGUAGGCGGCCAUACAGGUCCGUUGUGAAAACUGGAGGCUUAACCUCCAGACGUCGAUGGAAACCGUAUGGCUAGAGUCCGGAAGAGGAGGAGUGGAAUUCCUGGUGUAGCGGUGAAAUGCGUAGAUAUUGGGAGGAACACCGGUGGCGAAGGCGGGUCUCUGGGCCAUUACUGACGCUGAGGAGCGAAAGCGUGGGGAGCGAACAGG